This 273-nucleotide ribosomal RNA is filed under the name uncultured bacterium. RNAcentral describes it as "partial 16S ribosomal RNA". It matches the Rfam family "Bacterial small subunit ribosomal RNA", at positions 524 to 796 of the family's 1533-position model. The record is from RNAcentral.
GACGAACCGAGCGAACGUUGUUCGGAAUCACUGGGCUUAAAGGGCGCGUAGGCGGGCUGUCAAGUUUGGGGUGAAAUCUCACGGCUCAACCGUGGAACUGCCUCAAAUACUGACGGUCUCGAGGGAGAUAGGGGCGAGCGGAACUAAUGGUGGAGCGGUGAAAUGCGUUGAUAUCAUUAGGAACUCCGGUGGCGAAGGCGGCUCGCUGGAUCUCUUCUGACGCUGAGGCGCGAAAGCUAGGGGAGCAAACGGGAUUAGAAACCCCCGUAGUCC